RNAcentral lists this ribosomal RNA (802 nucleotides) under uncultured bacterium. RNAcentral's name for it is "bacterial SSU rRNA". It matches the Rfam family "Bacterial small subunit ribosomal RNA", at positions 545 to 1353 of the family's 1533-position model. The record is from RNAcentral.
CCGGAUUUAUUGGGUUUAAAGGGUGCGCAGGUGGUUAAAUAAGUCAGUGGUGAAAGUCUGCCGCUUAACGGUAGGAUUGCCAUUGAUACUGUUUGACUUGAAUAUGGAUGAGGUAGGCGGAAUGUGUAGUGUGGCGGUGAAAUGCUUAGAUAUUACACAGAACACCGAUUGCGAAGGCAGCUUACUAAUCCAUGAUUGACGCUGAGGCACGAAAGCGUGGGGAUCAAACAGGAUUAGAUACCCUGGUAGUCCACGCUGUAAACGAUGAUCACUCGCUGUUUGCGAUACACAGUAAGCGGCUAAGCGAAAGCGUUAAGUGAUCCACCUGGGGAGUACGAUCGCAAGGUUGAAACUCAAAGGAAUUGACGGGGGCCCGCACAAGCGGAGGAACAUGUGGUUUAAUUCGAUGAUACGCGAGGAACCUUACCUGGGCUUAAAUGGGGAGUGACAGCUGCUGAAAGGUGGUUUUCUUCGGACACUCUCCAAGGUGCUGCAUGGUUGUCGUCAGCUCGUGCCGUGAGGUGUCGGGUUAAGUCCCAUAACGAGCGCAACCCUUACUGUUAGUUGCCAGCGGGUAAUGCCGGGGACUCUAGCGGGACUGCCACCGUAAGGUGAGAGGAAGGUGGGGAUGACGUCAAAUCAGCACGGCCCUUAUGUCCAGGGCUACACACGUGUUACAAUGGCCGGUACAAAGGGCAGCUACACCGCGAGGUGAUGCUAAUCUCCAAAGCCGGUCCCAGUUCGGAUCGAAGUCUGCAACCCGACUUCGUGAAGUUGGAUUCGCUAGUAAUCGCGCAUCAGC